GAUGAACGCUGGCGGCGUGCCUAAUACAUGCAAGUCGAGCGAACAGACGAGGAGCUUGCUCCUUCGACGUUAGCGGCGGACGGGUGAGUAACACGUAGGUAACCUACCUAUAAGACUGGGAUAACUUCGGGAAACCGGAGCUAAUACCGGAUAAUAUUUCGAACCGCAUGGUUCGAUAGUGAAAGAUGGCUUUGCUAUCACUUAUAGAUGGACCUGCGCCGUAUUAGCUAGUUGGUAAGGUAACGGCUUACCAAGGCAACGAUACGUAGCCGACCUGAGAGGGUGAUCGGCCACACUGGAACUGAGCCACGGUCCAGACUCCUACGGGAGGCAGCAGUAGGGAAUCUUCCGCAAUGGGCGAAAGCCUGACGGAGCAACGCCGCGUGAGUGAUGAAGGUCUUCGGAUCGUAAAACUCUGUUAUUAGGGAAGAACAAACGUGUAAGUAACUGUGCACGUCUUGACGGUACCUAAUCAGAAAGCCACGGCUAACUACGUG
This 497-nucleotide ribosomal RNA is filed under the name uncultured bacterium. RNAcentral's name for it is "partial 16S ribosomal RNA". It matches the Rfam family "Bacterial small subunit ribosomal RNA", at positions 28 to 507 of the family's 1533-position model. The record is from RNAcentral.